Molecule: unclassified non-coding RNA, 212 nt
Filed under: uncultured Agaricales
Lineage: Eukaryota; Fungi; Basidiomycota; Agaricomycetes; Agaricales
Description: sequence contains ITS2
Source: RNAcentral
AAUUCUCAACUUCAAAACUUUGUUUUUGAUAGCUUGGAUGUUGGAGGUUUUGCAGGCGAUAAUAUGAUUGUCAGCUCCUCUUAAAUGCAUUAGCAGAACUUGAAAAGGAUCGGCUUUGGUUUGAUAAAUGCUAUCUAUGCCAUCGCUGGAACAAUUGUAUAGUUCAGCUUAUAAUUGUCCUUAGGGACUGUCUCUCGUAGACAUUCAUUUAA